UUUAAGGCUGAGACACGACGUCGAGCACCUACGGGUGUGAAGUCAUUGAUGCCAUGCUUCCAGGAAAAGCCUCUAAGCUUCAGAUUGUAAGGAAUCGUACCCCAAACCGACACAGGUGGUCGGGUAGAGAAUACCAAGGCGCUUGAGAGAACUCGGGUGAAGGAACUAGGCAAAAUGGUACCGUAACUUCGGGAGAAGGUACGCUCUUGAUGGUGAAGUCCCUCGCGGAUGGAGCUGACGAGAGUCGCAGAUACCAGGUGGCUGCAACUGUUUAUUAAAAACACAGCACUGUGCAAAAUCGUAAGAUGACGUAUACGGUGUGACGCCUGCCCGGUGCCGGAAGGUUAAUUGAUGGGGUUAGACUUCGGUCGAAGCUCUUGAUCGAAGCCCCGGUAAACGGCGGCCGUAACUAUAACGGUCCUAAGGUAGCGAAAUUCCUUGUCGGGUAAGUUCCGACCUGCACGAAUGGCGUAAUGAUGGCCACGCUGUCUCCACCCGAGACUCAGUGAAAUUGAAAUCGCUGUGAAGAUGCAGUGUACCCGCGGCUAGACGGAAAGACCCCGUGAACCUUUACUACAGCUUGGCACUGAACAUUGACCCUACAUGUGUAGGAUAGGUGGGAGGCUUUGAAGCACGUACGCCAGUAUGUGUGGAGCCGUCCUUGAAAUACCACCCUUGUAGUGUUGAUGUUCUAACGUCGACCCCUAAUCGGGGUUGCGGACAGUGCCUGGUGGGUAGUUUGACUGGGGCGGUCUCCUCCCAAAGAGUAACGGAGGAGCACGAAGGUGGGCUAAUCACGGUUGGACAUCGUGAGGUUAGUGCAAUGGCAUAAGCCCGCUUGACUGCGAGAAUGACAAUUCGAGCAGGUGCGAAAGCAGGUCAUAGUGAUCCGGUGGUUCUGAAUGGAAGGGCCAUCGCUCAACGGAUAAAAGGUACUCCGGGGAUAACAGGCUGAUACCGCCCAAGAGUUCAUAUCGACGGCGGUGUUUGGCACCUCGAUGUCGGCUCAUCACAUCCUGGGGCUGAAGUCGGUCCCAAGGGUAUGGCUGUUCGCCAUUUAAAGUGGUACGCGAGCUGGGUUUAGAACGUCGUGAGACAGUUCGGUCCCUAUCUGCCGUGGGCGUUGGAAGAUUGAAGGGGGCUGCUCCUAGUACGAGAGGACCGGAGUGGACGAACCUCUGGUGUUCGGGUUGUGUCGCCAGACGCAUUGCCCGGUAGCUAAGUUCGGAAUCGAUAACCGCUGAAAGCAUCUAAGCGGGAAGCGAGCCCUGAGAUGAGUCUUCCCUGAUACUUUAAGUAUCCUAAAGGGUUGUCGGAGACUACGACGUUGAUAGGUCAGGUGUGUAAGUGCUGUGAGGCAUUGAGCUAACUGAUACUAAUUGCCCGUGAGGCUUAACCAU
This 1400-nucleotide ribosomal RNA is filed under the name Vibrio parahaemolyticus. RNAcentral's name for it is "partial 23S ribosomal RNA". It matches the Rfam family "Bacterial large subunit ribosomal RNA", at positions 1549 to 2925 of the family's 2925-position model. Lineage: Bacteria; Pseudomonadati; Pseudomonadota; Gammaproteobacteria; Vibrionales; Vibrionaceae. The record is from RNAcentral.